UAAUUUUUGUAUUAUUUUGUUUUUAUUUAUUUUUUAUUUUUAAAUAAAAUUCUUUUUUGUUUAAGUAUUUUUUUUUUGAAAUAAUUUUUUUAAUUAUAAUUUAUUUUUACUGUUAAGGUCUUAUUAUAUUUUUUAAUAAUUUAAUUUUUUUUUGUACCUUUUGUAUCAGGGUUUAUAGAUUUAAUUUUAUUUAUUUAUUAUUCUCGAAUUUGUUUAAUCUAAAUUUUUAUGUUUAUUAAGGUUUUAUAUUUAAUUAUUAUAUUAAUUUAGUUGUGAUAUGCUAUUCAUAAUCAAAUAUAUCUAGUUUUCUUAGAAUUGAAUUUAAUUCAUAAUUAUUUAUUUAAUAUUAAUAAUUUUUUUUAUUAUUUAUUUAAUUUUAUAUUAAGGGGGAUUAGCUUUUUAAUUUUUUAUAAUUAUUUAUAUUAAAUAUUGUGUAGGAUUUAUAAUGUUCAUUACUUAUUAUUAUAUUAUAAUUUAAUAUUUUAUUAUUUUUAUUUAUUUUAAUUUAAUUAUUUAUUUGAAUUAAUCUUUUAAUUAUUUUUGUUUUUAAUAAUUAUAUAAUUAGUAUAUUUAUAUUAUAUGUUGUUUUUUUUUUUAAAAUUUUAAUAAGGAAUUAGGCAAAUAUUAUUUAUUCACCUGUUUAUCAAAAACAUCUUCUCUUGUUUAAUUAUAUGAGAUAAGGCCUGCCCAAUGAUUUAUUAAAUGGCUGCGGUAUUUUGACCGUGCAAAGGUAGCAUAAUCAUUAGUUUAUUAAUUGUAAACUUGUAUGAAUGGUUUAAUGAAAUAUAUACUGUCUUCAUUAUUAUAGAUAAAAUUUAAUUUUUUGGUUAAAAAGCCUAAUUUUUAUUAAGGGACGAGAAGACCCUAUAGAUCUUUAUUUUUUAUUAUUUUAUUUUUUAAUUUUUAUUUAUAAUUUUUAUUAAAUUUGGUUGGGGUGACAAGGGGAUAUAAUAAACUCUUCUUUAUUUUUUCAUUAAUUUAUGUUAUUUUAAAUUUUUAUUAUUUAUUUUAGAAUUAGAUACCUUAGGGAUAACAGCGUAAUUUAAUUUGAGAGUUCUUAUUGACAAUUAAGAUUGCGACCUCGAUGUUGGAUUAAGAAUAAAUUUUGGUGUAUAAGUCAUUUAUUUAGGUCUGUUCGACCUUUAAUUUCUUACAUGAUCUGAGUUCAAACCGGCGUGAGCCAGGUUGGUUUCUAUCUUUAAUUAAUUUAUUUAUAUUAGUACGAGAGGACCAUAUGAUUUAAAUAUUUUAUUAUUUUGAUUAUUUU
Molecule: ribosomal RNA, 1267 nt
Filed under: Orthomeria smaragdinum
Lineage: Eukaryota; Metazoa; Arthropoda; Insecta; Phasmatodea; Aschiphasmatidae
Description: 16S ribosomal RNA
Rfam family: Archaeal large subunit ribosomal RNA (bases 1029-1187)
Source: RNAcentral